ACAAGUAAACUCAAGACCUCCGACACCGUGGGACUUACCUCCGGACCGGAAGGAGAGGGGAGGGGAGGAAGAUGUAACAGCCCGGGUAUUUUACUCACGACCGGCGGAUGGUAAACAGAGCCGGGGGUAACUAACGGCGGCCAUCAUGUUUUCUUGUCGUCCGUGGCGAUAUAAAGCAGAAAUGGCGCGCGCCCCCCCCCAGUCCCCAAAUGUGCGCAGUUUACAAACUCAGGUGGUUGUGCGCACCUGCGGCUUUUCCCUGCACGCAACCGUUUCCUGUUCACCCGACCUCCGACACCGUCACAGAGCCGGCCCCAAGUUGUGACUCAGCUCAAUGGUCCCGUCCAGUCGGCUCCUCAGGAAUCCCUCUCCUCGUCCAGAGAGAGGUCGCCGCUGUCUCCAUCGAAAACCUUCAUCAGCACCGACUGCCCAGGCUCCACUGGUGGGUGAACCCUCUACUGACGUCACAGUAACAUCAUGUCAUGCGUCGUCAGUAUCCUUCAGGCUUGACAAGGAUGUUUUUCAACGCUACAGUUCAAUUUCCUUCCACAUUUAUCAUUUGCGGUGCAGAUCGUCCAUUCCUCAUUCCUGUCGAUCAGCAGACCGUGUUCUGCAUCGCCUGCGUGCUCUUGCAUUUGCAUGUUGUUCUCAUGUGUGCACCAUAAAUAAAAACACAACAGGGACCCGCUCAGAUGCACAUCAUCCUCAGAGCUGCUAGGGGGCAGAAAGUUACACAACCACAGUGCAGUGAAUCAAAGAGUCAAACAUUUAAACGGAAAAGAAAGAAAAGAAUAAAAAGAAUAAAAAGACAAACAUUAUACCCAGCUAAAAAACUGAGGCUGAAUUUGUUCUUAUGUUUUUUAUUUAUAGUUAUUUAUUUUUAUAGUUAUUUUAUUUAAUUCCCAGUCAAGUUUCCAGUGCACUGAUGUCAUUUUGGACAAUAAAGUUUAUCAUCACAUUAUUAUA
This is a long non-coding RNA of Seriola aureovittata, 966 nucleotides long. RefSeq lists it as uncharacterized. The record is from RefSeq and is a predicted model, not a curated record. Lineage: Eukaryota; Metazoa; Chordata; Actinopteri; Carangiformes; Carangidae. The transcript has 3 exons.